UACGAAGGGGGCUAGCGUUGCUCGGAAUCACUGGGCGUAAAGCGCACGUAGGCGGCUUGUUAAGUCAGGGGUGAAAUCCUGGAGCUCAACUCCAGAACUGCCUUUGAUACUGGCGAGCUUGAGUUCGGGAGAGGUGAGUGGAACUGCGAGUGUAGAGGUGAAAUUCGUAGAUAUUCGCAAGAACACCCGUGGCGAAGGCGGCUCUCUGGGACGGUACUGACGCUGAGACGCGAAAGCGUGGGGAGCGAACAGG
RNAcentral lists this ribosomal RNA (253 nucleotides) under uncultured bacterium. RNAcentral describes it as "partial 16S ribosomal RNA". It matches the Rfam family "Bacterial small subunit ribosomal RNA", at positions 524 to 776 of the family's 1533-position model. The record is from RNAcentral.